Molecule: unclassified non-coding RNA, 520 nt
Filed under: uncultured Herpotrichiellaceae
Lineage: Eukaryota; Fungi; Ascomycota; Eurotiomycetes; Chaetothyriales; Herpotrichiellaceae
Description: sequence contains ITS1, 5.8S rRNA gene, ITS2
Rfam family: 5.8S ribosomal RNA (bases 192-344)
Source: RNAcentral
CCGAGUUAGGGUCCCCUGGGCCCGACCUCCAACCCUUUGUCUACCUUACCUCUUGUUGCUUCGGCGGGCCCGUCUUUAACCAGACCGCCGGAGGGUGUCACACACCCUCUGGCCCGCGCCCGCCGGUGGCCUACAAACUAAAACUCUUGUUAAAAUCGUGUCGUCUGAAGUAAUCAAACAAAUAAAAUAAAAACUUUCAACAACGGAUCUCUUGGUUCUGGCAUCGAUGAAGAACGCAGCGAAAUGCGAUAAGUAAUGCGAAUUGCAGAAUCCGUGAGUCAUCGAAUCUUUGAACGCACAUUGCGCCCUUUGGUAUUCCGAAGGGCAUGCCUGUUCGAGCGUCAUUAUCACCCCUCAAGCUACGGCUUGGUGUUGGGCUCCAGGUGGUUUUACCCAAACUGCCGGCCUCAAAGAUAGUGACGGCGUCCCAGAGGGAACCGGUACGAGGAGCUUUUAACCGAGCAUGUACGCGGGACGACUCUGCGGGCGACGGUCUUUAUACAUAAACUUAUUUACAAGU